Molecule: ribosomal RNA, 253 nt
Filed under: uncultured bacterium
Lineage: Bacteria
Description: partial 16S ribosomal RNA
Rfam family: Bacterial small subunit ribosomal RNA
Source: RNAcentral
UACGGAGGGUGCAAGCGUUAUCCGGAUUCACUGGGUUUAAAGGGUGCGUAGGCGGGCAGGUAAGUCAGUGGUGAAAUCUCCGAGCUUAACUCGGAAACUGCCUUUGAUACUAUCUGUCUUGAAUAUGGUGGAGGUAAGCGGAAUAUGUCAUGUAGCGGUGAAAUGCUUAGAGAUGACAUAGAACACCUAUUGCGAAGGCAGCUUACUACGCCUAUAUUGACGCUGAGGCACGAAAGCGUGGGGAUCAAACAGG